GAGGGGUGAGGUUAUUACUUUGACAGACUCAAGCUAUAAGGAUCUACUCAAUAUGGACAAGUUGUUCUUCAUUUGGUGCUAUGAAAUUCGAUUUUGGUCGUUGCUUUCGUAUGAUUUAUGUGCUUUCGCUUCUCGUAUUUCCAUAAAAAGAGUAGCAUAUUGUCAAUGUUGUUUAUAAGUAGCUUCUACUGUGACAUCCACC
RNAcentral lists this long non-coding RNA (202 nucleotides) under Capsicum annuum. RNAcentral's name for it is "long non-coding RNA (CANN_LNC016327)". The record is from RNAcentral. Lineage: Eukaryota; Viridiplantae; Streptophyta; Magnoliopsida; Solanales; Solanaceae.